AACGAACGCUGGCGGCAUGCCUAACACAUGCAAGUCGAACGAGACCUUCGGGUCUAGUGGCACACGGGUGCGUAACGCGUGGGAACCUGCCCUUAGGUUCGGAAUAACUCCCCGAAAGGGGUGCUAAUACCGGAUAAUGUCUUCGGACCAAAGAUUUAUCGCCUUUGGAUGGGCCCGCGUUGGAUUAGCUAGUUGGUAGGGUAAAAGCCUACCAAGGCGACGAUCCAUAGCUGGUCUGAGAGGAUGAUCAGCCACACUGGGACUGAGACACGGCCCAGACUCCUACGGGAGGCAGCAGUGGGGAAUAUUGGACAAUGGGCGAAAGCCUGAUCCAGCAAUGCCGCGUGAGUAAUGAAGGCCUUAGGGUUGUAAAGCUCUUUUACCCGGGAUGAUAAUGACAGUACCGGGAGAAUAAGCUCCGGCUAACUCCGUG
RNAcentral lists this ribosomal RNA (433 nucleotides) under uncultured bacterium. RNAcentral's name for it is "partial 16S ribosomal RNA". It matches the Rfam family "Bacterial small subunit ribosomal RNA", at positions 29 to 507 of the family's 1533-position model. The record is from RNAcentral.